RNAcentral lists this long non-coding RNA (376 nucleotides) under Sorghum bicolor (sorghum). Its description in RNAcentral is "long non-coding RNA (SBIC_LNC017906)". Lineage: Eukaryota; Viridiplantae; Streptophyta; Magnoliopsida; Poales; Poaceae. The record is from RNAcentral.
CAAAUCAAUAUAUAUCACAUGGUUUUAUAAAUAAAAUAAACCGAGCUUAUAGCCUUUGCUUCUAUGACGAAGUAAAUCUUCGCUAGUCGUUUCUUAUUCACCGUAACUCCGAUUAGUGUCCUUUUCGUGUCUACGUGAUUGUAGCUACGCGUAUAUUUGUUUUUAAAUUUUUUAUUGAUUGGUGUAUUUUUCUAAAUUUAUUAUGUUUGCUAUGCAUGUUUGUUCGGAUGCUUGUGUGGUAUGAUCCUGUCUAGUCGGUGAGUUUUAUAUGGUGAUCAAGAAGGACCAGAGUUGGUAAUAGUGAGCAAGCAAUUAAUUGAAGAUUUGGACUAGCAGAAUCAGUAAGAGCAGCAGGAAAGCUUUUAUCCAGGCAAGU